UACGAGGGGGGCGAGCGUUGUUCGGAAUUACUGGGUGUAAAGGGUUCGUAGGCGGUGCGGCAAGUCGGGAGUGAAAUCUCUGGGCUUAACCCAGAGGCUGCUUCCGAAACUGCUGUGCUUGAGUGUGGGAGAGGCGCGUGGAAUUGCAGGUGUAGCGGUGAAAUGCGUAGAUAUCUGCAGGAACACCCGUGGCGAAAGCGGCGCGCUGGACCACUACUGACGCUGAGGAACGAAAGCUAGGGGAGCAAACAGG
Molecule: ribosomal RNA, 253 nt
Filed under: uncultured bacterium
Lineage: Bacteria
Description: partial 16S ribosomal RNA
Rfam family: Bacterial small subunit ribosomal RNA
Source: RNAcentral